This 67-nucleotide transfer RNA is filed under the name Azonexus sp. RNAcentral describes it as "tRNA-Ser". Lineage: Bacteria; Pseudomonadati; Pseudomonadota; Betaproteobacteria; Rhodocyclales; Azonexaceae. The record is from RNAcentral.
GGAAAGUGAGGCUUUGAACGGUCUCUUAAUCCGUAGGUCCAAAGUUCGAAUCUGUGACGCUCCACCA